CCUACGGGGUGCAGCAGUCGAGAAUCAUUCACAAUGGGGGAAACCCUGACGCAGCAACGCCGCGUGAGUGAAGACGUAUCUCGGUAUGUAAAGCUCUAUCAGCGGGGAAGAAGGAAGACGGUACCCGACUAAGAAGCCCCGGCUAACUACGUGCCAGCAGCCGCGGUAAUACGUAGGGGGCAAGCGUUAUCCGGAUUUACUGGGUGUAAAGGGAGCGUAGACGGCGUCGCAAGUCUGAAGUGAAAGCCCGUGGCUCAACCGCGGAACCGCUUUGGAAACUGCGUGGCUGGAGUGCUGGAGAGGUAAGCGGAAUUCCUGGUGUAGCGGUGAAAUGCGUAGAUAUCAGGAGGAACACCGGUGGCGAAGGCGGCUUACUGGACAGUGACUGACGUUGAGGCUCGAAAGCGUGGGGAGCGAACAGGAUUAGAUACCCGAGUAGUC
This 441-nucleotide ribosomal RNA is filed under the name uncultured bacterium. RNAcentral describes it as "partial 16S ribosomal RNA". It matches the Rfam family "Bacterial small subunit ribosomal RNA", at positions 338 to 795 of the family's 1533-position model. The record is from RNAcentral.